GAUGAACGCUGGCGGCGUGCCUAAUACAUGCAAGUCGAGCGAACGGACGAGAAGCUUGCGUCUCUGAUGUUAGCGGCGGACGGGUGAGUAACACGUGUAUAACCUACCUAUAAGACUGGGAUAACUUCGGGAAACGGGAGCUAAUACCGGAUAAUAUUUUGCACCGCAUUGUUGAAAAGAGAAAGUCGGUCUUGCGGUCACGUCUAGCUGGAUACGCGCUGCAUUAGCUAGUUGGGAAGGUAACGGCUUACGAAGGCAAGGAUGCAUAGCCGACCGGAUAGGGGGAUCGGCCACAUGGGAGCUGGGACGCGGUCAAGACUCCUAAGGGAGGCAGCAGAAGGGAAUCUUCCGCAAUGGUCGAAAGCCUGACGGAGCAACGCCGCGUGAGUGAUGAAGGUCUUCGGAUCGUAAAACUCUGUUAUUAGGGAAGAACAUAUGUGUAAGUUACUGUGCACAGCUUGACGGUAACGAAUCAGAAAGCCACGGCUAACUACGUG
RNAcentral lists this ribosomal RNA (497 nucleotides) under uncultured bacterium. RNAcentral describes it as "partial 16S ribosomal RNA". It matches the Rfam family "Bacterial small subunit ribosomal RNA", at positions 28 to 507 of the family's 1533-position model. The record is from RNAcentral.